Corvus hawaiiensis (hawaiian crow) is the source of this 2208-nucleotide long non-coding RNA. RefSeq lists it as uncharacterized. Lineage: Eukaryota; Metazoa; Chordata; Aves; Passeriformes; Corvidae. The transcript is spliced from 2 exons. The record is from RefSeq and is a predicted model, not a curated record.
AAUUGCUGGGGCAGCAGGCUCUGGACAGCGAGCCUGCCGUGCCGCCCCAGUGAGUUGUGUGGGUCCUCGGCACUUCUGGAAGUUGUUUUUCUUGUGGUGACUCUGUGCACAUUCUUGAAGCAAAGGAGUUUGUUCUUGCCCACAGUGUCCCUCCCCGGCAUUGUUGAGUGGAAAACUCUUAUGCUAAUUAUAUCACUGUCUGUUAUCAAUAAGAAGUGAUUUAAUUUCUUUGGCAAAGUGUUGCAACAAGAGCAAAUUAGAUUGAGAGGCAAAGUGAAAUAAAAAAUAUGCAGCUGUUCUGCCAAACAAUGAUCCUGACUGUUCACAACAUUUUGUUUUAGACUGCCUUGUACACAGAAUCCUUUAUAUUGAAGGUUUUCAAGUCACAAUCCACUGCUUGUGCAAGGAAACUAGAUUAAUAGAUUAUAAGAGACAAAAGAGACCAAGGUUCAUCUGGUUCAGCUUCCUGCAUUAUGCAGGUCUCUGGAUUUUUGUGAAUAUUUUGCUUUUUCUCAUUUGAAAGAAUUUAACUGCAGCAUAGCUGCAUCUUAGAUCAGAUUUUCAUUUUCAAAUGGGCUGUGAAAGGGAGUAAAAUAAGACUGAAUUGUUUCCAUCAAAAAUCUACCUGACAGACUAGAAAUCAAAGUACCUUUUUAAACUUGUCUAGUUUCUGCUUUUCAUUUUCUGGAUGUGUCUGUCCCUCAGUCUCCUUGGCAGAGGAAUGCUCCAUGACCAGAUUUCCAUCCCCUCAUAGCUUUGUGCAGGCUGAGCAUUUAGACACUCCAUUGCAGGCUGCAGAGCUCCCCCUCGGGUCCGUCUUUGCUAAUCCUGUAAUUGUUCCUGCUCCAGUUUGUCACCAUUUUGAUCUGGGCGGAAGGGGACGGAGCCAUCGGCAGUGACCAUGCCCGAGCCAACAGCCCUCCUGGCUCAGAUGUGUCUGUCAGGCAUCCAGGGAUUACACCAGCCCAUGUUCAGCUGGUUUCCCAGCAGGGCUGCUAAAAUACUCUCAGAUCUGCUCCUUCUUAGGAUGACAACCCUGUACUGUAGGAUUGUGCUCUUUGUUUUGCAUGUUUACUCUGGUCCUCUUGAAAACCCUUGGACAGUGUUGUUGCUUGCAAUGGCCUUUUUUAAUUUUUAUUUGAUAUUCCCUCCUGAUACUGCUGAGUGUCACCUACAAACUUGGUUGGUCAUGAUUUUAUAUUUUCUUCCAGAUAAACAACCUAUCUGCACUGUGGGUGUUUCCUGGUUCCGGGUAUGUGUACGCACACCUCAGCAGUGUCAAUAUUGUGUCAGGAGGAGGUCUGGUUGCACACCAUCCCUUGCCACACCCCAGUUGCAUGGGAAGAAAGCCCAGUUUAGGAGCUGGAAGGGAGCCAGAGGCACACUGCAACAUUUGCCUGCCCUGGUGUCUAUUAUGUAGCCAUUAAAUAAUGCAGAGCACAAAACAGGUGGUUGCAGGACCCAUAAAAGAAAGAUGAGAGGUCUGGGGCAGCGUGGUUACAAAGUACAUUUUGAGACCUUCCUGUUUAGAUGGGUUUUUUAGAGGUGCUGCCUUAUUACAUACUCUCUAUCCAGCAAUUCAUUCAAGACCUAAGUACAUUAAGGACUUCUUCCCCCCUGCCAAAUUUGAUUGGGAGUGGAGGAAGGAAGGGGGAAAAUGACAUAUAGCAAUACAGUCGCAUUAGGCAGUUUUAUUUUUAGGAAACCAGGCUAAGAAUAUCAAAGGAAUAUUGAGUAGGAAUAUGGACAGGGUAUUUGCCUGUUCAGAUUUUCUUGCCAUGAAAUUUUUCAUUCCUUCCUUAGAACAACAGAUGAUCCGUCUAGGGAAUUGUCAGCCAAAAUAAGCAACCUGCUGACAGAUUUCACCUGUGUCCCAGCAUGCUCUGAGGAUGCAUGGGAUGUGAGCCUUGAACAAUGACAGGGAAUCACUAGGCUGUGUUGUUUGGCUGCCGGGGUGCAGAGAUGCGUGGUGACACCCAACAGUGGAACAAACAUUUACUGUGUUUAAGAUCCAGACAAAUUUUGAUGGAUGUGUUGGCUAUUUGCCAGAGCUGAGGGGGUUUUUUGUUACUUUUUAAACUGUAUGUGUUCAUAUUAUUUCUGCUAGUAUUAUGACAAAGCUACCUCUGUAAGGUACGGAGUGAGUGCUUUCAGAGAUCUGAUCUUUCUUGAGCUAUAAAGGAAUAAAGAAGCUGUUUCAACACCUGA